RNAcentral lists this long non-coding RNA (685 nucleotides) under Calidris pugnax (ruff). RNAcentral describes it as "lncRNA (ENSCPUG00000004113.1)". Lineage: Eukaryota; Metazoa; Chordata; Aves; Charadriiformes; Scolopacidae. The record is from RNAcentral.
GAAGAAUGAUGGCCUUAGAUGACUUCGUGGACAUGAGUUCUGGAUUUGUUACGAGCUUGAAGCGGGGGAUUUUGGAAUCAGAACGGCAAAGGGGUAUUUUAUAGGGGAAAGUAGUAUUUAAUAUUCUGUAUCUAACAGCAUCUCAUGCAUGAGAAGGAAUAUAAUGACACUCACUGGUUGGAAGGAGUUUUCUGCUAUUGCACCCGGUUCGUUCCAGGUCUCCAACAGCCAGGGACACAGCCAAACAAUCUAUUAACAUGACCUUUAGCUGCAAGGUUGGGAAGGAAAAGUUUAAUGACUGAAUUUUCUGCUGGUUAAUGUUGUUACAGUUGUUCUGAGCACUGAGAGUCAACCAGAAUUGGAAAGACUUGUGUAAGUGGGAACUGAGCUAAAGAAACAAACAGCCCAAACCCUUCAAACCCUGGACCGGCCAGGCAAAGAACACUGCUAAAAUGUUAUACUUCAGAGAACAACACAAGGCUUUUUUAGCCACGAUCAGCAAAUUAAUGAAAAAAAGAAUUUCAUGUCAGUUUUCUCCCUAAAAAUAAAUUGUAAGUGGAAGAUUUUCAUGCAUUUGGGUUCCCUUUUUCUGGAGCUUUUGUUUACAGUGCAGAGAGAGUUGACAGGAAGAGGAAGGCAGGAGAUGGGAUUUGAAGAAGGAAGGGACAGAGACCUUACCCUACGG